AUCAACUUGUGAAUGAUUUGGAAUCAUUUUCUAUAUGUACAAGAGAUUCAAGUAGUUAAUGAGAUGGUAAACAUAUGCUGGUUAUGGACGUCUGUCAACAUUAAAUGAGUUCUUGAAACCUACCCAAGGAGAAAGGUACUAUAGCCCAGGUAGUCGUGGCAGCCUCAUUCUGGGAGAAUAUUUAACAUAAACUUCCCAAAAAGAUCGGAUGAUUCAGCUUGGUGCAAAUAUAGUUCAACUCAAGCAAUGGUAUAAAAAAUUCAAUAUCCUCUCAAUAAAUCCUGCAGAAAAGUACACAACAUGCAUAAUUAUGUAUUAAACUAUGGUUCAUAUAUGAUGUGUACCACUUUAUUUGGGAAACUUGUAUCAAACACAGUUGGCAUUAGGCAUGUAUUGUACUUUAUUUUGUAAACUUGUAUCAAACUUUGUUUUUGUUUCUAUGUAUUAAAUUAUUUAUUAAUCAAA
Molecule: long non-coding RNA, 465 nt
Organism: Juglans microcarpa x Juglans regia
Lineage: Eukaryota; Viridiplantae; Streptophyta; Magnoliopsida; Fagales; Juglandaceae
Exons: 2
Source: RefSeq, a predicted model, not a curated record